CACCAGUCCCACCACGCGGUAG
This 22-nucleotide microRNA is filed under the name Mus musculus (house mouse). RNAcentral's name for it is "mmu-miR-1905". The record is from miRBase by way of RNAcentral. Lineage: Eukaryota; Metazoa; Chordata; Mammalia; Rodentia; Muridae.